RNAcentral lists this ribosomal RNA (497 nucleotides) under uncultured bacterium. RNAcentral's name for it is "partial 16S ribosomal RNA". It matches the Rfam family "Bacterial small subunit ribosomal RNA", at positions 28 to 507 of the family's 1533-position model. The record is from RNAcentral.
GAUGAACGCUGGCGGCGUGCCUAAUACAUGCAAGUCGAGCGAACAGACGAGGAGCUUGCUCCUCUGACGUUAGCGGCGGACGGGUGAGUAACACGUGGAUAACCUACCUAUAAGACUGGGAUAAAUUCGGGAAACCGGAGCUAAUACCGGAUAAUAUAUUGAACCGCAUGGUUCAAUAGUGAAAGACGGUUUUGCUGUCACUUCUCGAUGGAUCCGCGCCGCAUUAGCUAGUUGGUAAGGUAACGGCUUACCAAGGCGACGAUGCGUAGCCGACCUGAGAGGGGGAUCGACCACACUGGAACUGAGACACGGUCCAGACUCCUACGGGAGGCAGCAGUAGGGAAGCUUCCGCAAUGGGCGAAAGCCUGACGGAGCAGCGCCGCGUGAGUGAUGAAGGUCUUCGGAUCGUAAAACUCUGUUAUGAGGGAAGAACAAAUGUGUAAGUAACUAUGCACGUCUUGACGGUACCUAAUCAGAAAGCCACGGCUAACUACGUG